CACAAACCCGAUUAUCUCUUUCUGAACAAGGAGGGAAAUACUGGACCUGAGUUAUCAGAAGCCAGCAACAAGAAAACCCACAACCCUGGAUGUGGCUGAAUGGCAAUAUUAGCACCAAAUACAGAAGAUGGGAAACAGUGAUGUCAGUGCCAUAUUUACAACCUGAAUUUUUUUCUAAAUGAAAACCCUGCCUAUAUCGACAUAAUGAAAUAACUGACAAGAAUGAAGUCAAGACCAGGACAUUUCUUCAAACUACUACACAGACUAUUCUAGUGCUGUGCUUUGAAAGGAAAACGUAGGAGUCUAAAUCAGCAUUUAGGCUUGUAUCCUUUAUCUAAGAAUGAUCCCAAUGCAGUACAGAAAAGACAAAAGUAAGUAUAAUGAGUGUGUGAGUGUGUGUGUGUGCUUGUGUGUGUGUGUGUGU
This 424-nucleotide long non-coding RNA is filed under the name Mus spicilegus (steppe mouse). Its description in RNAcentral is "lncRNA (ENSMSIG00000016888.1)". The record is from RNAcentral. Lineage: Eukaryota; Metazoa; Chordata; Mammalia; Rodentia; Muridae.